RNAcentral lists this ribosomal RNA (589 nucleotides) under Mecopus bispinosus. RNAcentral's name for it is "partial 18S ribosomal RNA". Lineage: Eukaryota; Metazoa; Arthropoda; Insecta; Coleoptera; Curculionidae. The record is from RNAcentral.
CCGCGGCUGCUGGCACCAGACUUACCCUCCAAUUGAUCCUCGUUAAAGGGUUUAGAGUGUACUCAUUCCGAUUACGGGGCCUCGGAUGAGUCCCGUAUCGUUAUUUUUCGUCACUACCUCCCCGUGCCGGGAGUGGGUAAUUUGCGCGCCUGCUGCCUUCCUUGGAUGUGGUAGCCGUUUCUCAGGCUCCCUCUCCGGAAUCGAACCCUAAUUCCCCGUUACCCGUUACGACCAUGGUAGGCGCAGAACCUACCAUCGACAGUUGAUAAGGCAGACAUUUGAAAGAUGCGUCGCCGGUGCGAUGACCAUGCGAUCAGCAUAAAGUUAUUCAGAAUCACCAAGUUAUACGAUGACGAGCCCCCGAUAUGAGAACCCGCCACCGAUUGGUUUUGAUCUAAUAAAAGCACUCCUUCCGUCUCCGGUUGGAGCUCUAUUUGCAUGUAUUAGCUCUAGAAUUACCACAGUUAUCCAAGUAAUUGUGGGUACGAUCUAAGGAACCAUAACUGAUUUAAUGAGCCUUUCGCGGUUUCACCUUAAUUUGGCUUGUACUGAGACAUGCAUGGCUUAAUCUUUGAGACAAGCAUAUGAC